RNAcentral lists this unclassified non-coding RNA (210 nucleotides) under plant metagenome. RNAcentral's name for it is "partial contains small subunit ribosomal RNA and internal transcribed spacer 1". The record is from RNAcentral.
AAUGUCGUAUCAGUUUUCCCGUAGGUGAACCUGCGGAAGGAUCAUUAUCGAAAAUAAAGGGUUGUCUGCUGGCCUCUCGGGGCGCGUGCACGCCCAAAUCCACAACACACCCUGUGAACCCCACCGUAGGCCCCUCGGGCUUAUGUAUCAUCAUAUACUCUGAUCAUAGGAUGUAAAUAUUUUGCCUUAAAAAACGCAAUGAAAUACAAC